This 802-nucleotide ribosomal RNA is filed under the name uncultured bacterium. Its description in RNAcentral is "bacterial SSU rRNA". It matches the Rfam family "Bacterial small subunit ribosomal RNA", at positions 8 to 796 of the family's 1533-position model. The record is from RNAcentral.
AGAGUUUGAUCAUGGCUCAGGACGAACGCUGGCGGCGUGCUUAACACAUGCAAGUGGAGCGACGAACCGGGCUUCGGCCCGGGGCAAAGCCGCGAACGGGUGAGUAUCACGUGGGUAACCUGCCCCGAUGACUGGGACAACCCGAGGAAACUCGGGCUAAUACCGGAUGUGCUCUCCGCGCUUCAGCGCGGACAGUAAAGGAAGCUUCGGCCUCCGCAUUGGGAUGGGCCCGCGGCCCAUUAGCUUGUUGGUGAGGUAACGGCUCACCAAGGCUGCGAUGGGUAGCUGGUCUGAGAGGACGAUCAGCCACACUGGGACUGAGACACGGCCCAGACUCCUACGGGAGGCAGCAGUGGGGAAUCUUGCGCAAUGCGCGAAAGCGUGACGCAGCAACGCCGCGUGAGGGAAGAAGGCCUUCGGGUUGUAAACCUCUUUCAGGAGGGACGAAGGUUCAGGCGCGAAUAGCGUCCUGGACUGACGGUACCUCCAGAAGAAGCCCCGGCUAACUACGUGCCAGCAGCCGCGGUAGUACGUAGGGGGCUAGCGUUGUCCGGAAUCAUUGGGCGUAAAGAGCGUGUAGGCGGCCCGGUAAGUCCGCUGUGAAAGUCAAAGGCUCAACCUUUGAAUGUCAGCGGAUACUGCCGGGCUAGAGUCCGGAAGAGGCGAGUGGAACUCCUGGUGUAGCGGUGGAAUGCGCAGAUAUCAGGAAGAACACCAACGGCGAAGGCAGCUCGCUGGGACGGUACUGACGCUGAGACGCGAAAGCGUGGGGAGCGAACAGGAUUAGAUACCCUCGUAGUCC